GCUCUUCUUGCUCAGCUUUUAACUCAGCUUCGAACUUACUGGAACAUGACAAGGCCUGGGCCUGCGAAGAAAUAGCAAACAGACGACACCGCGGUAUCACUACAUUCUUGUGGACCAGUCCUUGAACUGGGCCGAGUGGUAUCCUCAGACCUCAAGAGAGAAGGUUCUCUGUUCAUCAGUUGACUCAGAAACUCAUGACUGAUCAAGAUACAGAGAUAAUCCACUCACUAUGGAAUGCUCAGACACACAUGGGACACACACCCUUCCCAAGGCUCCUGGAAGGGUGGGUGGAAACCCUACAAGAGCCAAAGGUCAGGGAGUACUGGAGUUGAAGGAGUGGAGCCAGCUGUACUCAGGAACGCCCAGCAGGAAGCUCACCUGGUAUGUGGAGUCUGGGCCCACCCCUGGCCCCAGGAGUGGGCUAUGAGGACAGCUAUGUUCCAGCCACUGCUAAAGGGGAUCCAUCACAGUCUUCUGGCCUCUGUGAGCACCGGGCAUGCAUGUGGUAUGCAGACAUAAAUGGAGGCAAGACUUUUAUACACACAAAAUGGACACAUUUUUUUAAAUUACAAAUUUGGGCCGGAGAGAUGGCUCAGCAUUGAAG
Long non-coding RNA from Mus musculus (house mouse), 604 nucleotides. RefSeq annotates it as predicted gene, 41911. The record is from RefSeq and is a predicted model, not a curated record. The transcript has 4 exons. Lineage: Eukaryota; Metazoa; Chordata; Mammalia; Rodentia; Muridae.